UACGUAGGUGGCAAGCGUUGUCCGGAUUUACUGGGCGUAAAGAGCGCGCAGGCGGUCGUUCAAGUCGCGUGUGAAAGCCCCCGGCUCAACUGGGGAGGGUCACGCGAUACUGAUCGACUCGAAGGCAGGAGAGGGUAGUGGAAUUCCCGGUGUAGUGGUGAAAUGCGUAGAUAUCGGGAGGAACACCAGUAGCGAAGGCGACUACCUGGCCUGUUCUUGACGCUGAGGCGCGAAAGCUAGGGGAGCAAACGGG
RNAcentral lists this ribosomal RNA (253 nucleotides) under uncultured bacterium. Its description in RNAcentral is "partial 16S ribosomal RNA". It matches the Rfam family "Bacterial small subunit ribosomal RNA", at positions 524 to 776 of the family's 1533-position model. The record is from RNAcentral.